Molecule: long non-coding RNA, 1426 nt
Filed under: Ananas comosus (pineapple)
Lineage: Eukaryota; Viridiplantae; Streptophyta; Magnoliopsida; Poales; Bromeliaceae
Description: long non-coding RNA (ACOM_LNC036637)
Source: RNAcentral
AAUUCUUCAAUUGAGCAUUAAAUUUAAAAAUAAUUUUUUAAAUUUUCAAUCUACUUUAAUCUUUUUUAUUAUAAAAUUUGAAAUAUAUAAAUAAUUAUCAAAUAGUUCAGACGUUGGUAUUAAAUAUAAAUAUUAAUUUUAUAAUAUUGAGAAUUCAGAUAUAAAUUAUACAUAAUUUUAUGUUUUACGAAAGUUAGUUGCGAGAAUCAUAUGAAAUAUGCUAACUAAAACAUUAGUACACACCAGAUGCAAGAAAAGAUCUCUCUUCUCAUUUCACUAACUAAUGGGGGACUAUCAUGAAUACUAAAAAUUUUGAAUGUGCUCCAUAUUUGGAAUAAUUAGCAUAGGGUAAUUUUAUUUGUACCCUCAAAAGAUUGGAAAUAACAUAAAUAACAUUAUAAAAUUAGUAAUAUAAAACCAAAUAAAAGAGAACAAGAUAAGAAAAUAUUUAAUAAAGUUGACAAAUUAUUUCAAAAUAGCUUAUUAUUGAGAAAACUCUUUAUAUUUUCUAUAUUAGGGAAGAUAGUUGUAUUUAUUUAAAAUUAUUCCGUAAUUUGUCCGUAAUAUUCCAUAAUUAUUCUAAAAUUAAUUUUUAUAACUAAUUUUAAAGAUUAAAUUGUAAAAUAACUACCCGCAGCAUCGCGCAUGUCUCUUAACUAGUUUUAAAUUAAAUGCUCACUUUUAGAGGUGUUAGCUAGCCGAAUUCUCUGACUUUUGACCAGGUCAAAGAUCCUCCUCGGGAAGUGUGUCGGGAUGAAAACGGCUUCGGAAGGUGACCCUCGAAGUUUGCGCCCUUCGAUCGAUCAAGCGAUUCGGCUGAUGAGGGAUCUGAUCAGCCGGGUUCGAAAUCUCUAUAAUAAAUUUGGUUCGGCUGGAUGAGCCGAAUGUACGGAUCAGGCAAGAACUGAAGUCGGCCGAGGAGCCGAAUGACUAAAAAACACAAGAAUUUGUCGAUUUGAAGAACCGAAUGCCUUUAUAUUAACUGGUAAGAAGUAUAGGGGUUGAGUGUGUCGGAUGGCAUGCAGACUCGGUUGAUUUACUUAAAGAACUACUCCUAAAAAGAACAGUAAGUGCGGGAAAGAAAGAAUUACAAGUAGACUACUCAUAGAAAAUAUAGAAAAUUGUGAGGAAAUAAGGGCGGUCUUUUAUUCACAGGGAAAAAGAUCUCUUUUUAAGGCAUUAUUGACCUAUUUAUAGAUCGCCCCUUGACCAGUUAUUGCUCUUACACGAUCGGCCACUAUCUCUUAAUUUUUCGGACCACUUUCAGCCCACUUUCAGCCGAUCGGAACCGCUUGCAACUGCUUGCGGUUACUGUAACCUCCCUUAAUUGGCGCGACGGUUUGCUUUUUAAACUCUUCCGGUGCUCCUGGUGUACAACAAUAUUAACGCCUUUGAAUGGAAUACCGGCGUACCAUCUGUCCGCGCC